Molecule: unclassified non-coding RNA, 400 nt
Filed under: uncultured fungus
Lineage: Eukaryota; Fungi
Description: partial internal transcribed spacer 1
Source: RNAcentral
CGUUAACAGGCCGCGCUCCAGCACAACUUCACGUACGCUCUUACCGGUUUCAGCACAGAUUUUACCGACGAUGUCGCCGUUGUGGUGGCCGAUGAACGGGUUGAGGUAAGUGACGAUACCGAUGGAGUUGUAAACGUACCCUUCGCACACUUCUUUAUUCGCGGUAAUGCCGUUAACGCAUUUUUCCAGCAGGUUGUAGCACGCGUUGCUCAGAAUGUGGAUGGAUUCGAACAUCGCCUGACCGAUAACCGGCUCCAUAACGUUCAACUGCAACUGACCGGCUUCCGCCGCCAUCGUAACGGUGGUGUCGUUACCGAUGACUUUAAAGCAUACCUGGUUUACGACUUCCGGUACAACCGGGUUCACUUUGGCUGGCAUGAUGGAAGAGCCCGCCUGCAGU